GCGGUUGUAGCUCAGUUGGAUAGAGCGUCCGCCUCCUAAGCGGCAGGUCGUGAGUUCGACUCUCACCAAUCGCACCA
This 77-nucleotide transfer RNA is filed under the name Mitsuokella multacida. RNAcentral describes it as "tRNA-Arg". It matches the Rfam family "tRNA". From Rfam's summary of the family: Transfer RNA (tRNA) molecules are approximately 80 nucleotides in length. RNAcentral also lists the same sequence under 9 other names. Lineage: Bacteria; Bacillati; Bacillota; Negativicutes; Selenomonadales; Selenomonadaceae. The record is from RNAcentral.